GACGAACGCUGGCGGCGUGCUUAACACAUGCAAGUCGAACGGAAAGGCCUCUUUCGGGGGGUACUCGAGUGGCGAACGGGUGAGUAACACGUGAGUAGCCUGCCCUUGACUUUGGGAUAACUUCAGGAAACUGGGGCUAAUACCGGAUAGGAGCUCCUGCUGCAUGGUGGGGGUUGGAAAGUUUCGGCGGUUGGGGAUGGACUCGCGGCUUAUCAGCUUGUUGGUGGGGUAGUGGCUUACCAAGGCUUUGACGGGUAGCCGGCCUGAGAGGGUGACCGGCCACAUUGGGACUGAGAUACGGCCCAGACUCCUACGGGAGGCAGCAGUGGGGAAUAUUGCACAAGGGGUGGAAGCCUGAUGCAGCAACGCCGUGUGCGGGAUGACGGCCUUCGGGUUGGAAACCGCUUUCGCUCAUGACGAAGCUUUGUGUGACGGUAGUGGGUAAAGAAGCACCGGCUAACUACGUG
RNAcentral lists this ribosomal RNA (467 nucleotides) under uncultured bacterium. Its description in RNAcentral is "partial 16S ribosomal RNA". It matches the Rfam family "Bacterial small subunit ribosomal RNA", at positions 28 to 507 of the family's 1533-position model. The record is from RNAcentral.